UUGAGGAGCGCGCUGUACAGUU
RNAcentral lists this non-coding RNA (22 nucleotides) under Arabidopsis thaliana (thale cress). The record is from RNAcentral. Lineage: Eukaryota; Viridiplantae; Streptophyta; Magnoliopsida; Brassicales; Brassicaceae.